Molecule: transfer RNA, 86 nt
Filed under: Psychromonas marina
Lineage: Bacteria; Pseudomonadati; Pseudomonadota; Gammaproteobacteria; Alteromonadales; Psychromonadaceae
Also listed under: 6 other names
Description: tRNA-Leu
Rfam family: tRNA
About the family: Transfer RNA (tRNA) molecules are approximately 80 nucleotides in length.
Source: RNAcentral
GCCCGGAUGGUGGAAUCGGUAGACACCCAAGAUUUAAAAUCUUGUGCAUUCUGUGCGUGCGAGUUCAAGUCUCGCUCCGGGCACCA